GGGCCCUUACCUCAGUUGGAUAGAGGAUCCGGCUACGAACCGGAGUGUCGUGAGUUCGAAUCUCUCAGGGCCCG
This 74-nucleotide transfer RNA is filed under the name Candidatus Melainabacteria bacterium RIFCSPHIGHO2_02_FULL_34_12. Its description in RNAcentral is "tRNA-Arg". It matches the Rfam family "tRNA". From Rfam's summary of the family: Transfer RNA (tRNA) molecules are approximately 80 nucleotides in length. Their secondary structure includes four short double-helical elements and three loops (D, anti-codon, and T loops). Further hydrogen bonds mediate the characteristic L-shaped molecular structure. tRNAs have two regions of fundamental functional importance: the anti-codon, which is responsible for specific mRNA codon recognition, and the 3' end, to which the tRNAs corresponding amino acid is attached (by aminoacyl-tRNA synthetases). tRNAs cope with the degeneracy of the genetic code in two manners: having more than one tRNA (with a specific anti-codon) for a particular amino acid; and 'wobble' base-pairing, i.e. permitting non-standard base-pairing at the 3rd anti-codon position. Lineage: Bacteria; Bacillati; Candidatus Melainabacteria. The record is from RNAcentral.